RNAcentral lists this ribosomal RNA (362 nucleotides) under uncultured bacterium. Its description in RNAcentral is "bacterial SSU rRNA". It matches the Rfam family "Bacterial small subunit ribosomal RNA", at positions 772 to 1129 of the family's 1533-position model. The record is from RNAcentral.
ACCUAAUAGAUACCCGGGUAGUCCACGCCCUAAACGAUGCGAACUGGAUGUUGGGUACAUUACGGUACUCAGUGUCGAAAGCUAAACGCGUUAAGUUCGCCGCCUGGGGAGUACGGUCGCAAGACUGAAACUCAAAGGAAUUGACGGGGGCCCGGCACAAGCGGUGGAGUAUGUGGUUUAAUUCGAUGCAACGCGAAGAACCUUACCUUGGCCUUGACAUCUGUCGAAUCCUGCAGAGAUGCGGGAGUGCCGCAAGGAACGACAAGACAGGUGCUGCAUGGCUGUCGUCAGCUCGUGUCGUGAGAUGUUGGGUUAAGUCCCGCAACGAGCGCAACCCUUGUCCCUAGUUGCCAGCACAUCAU